This is a non-coding RNA of Electrophorus electricus (electric eel), 534 nucleotides long. Lineage: Eukaryota; Metazoa; Chordata; Actinopteri; Gymnotiformes; Gymnotidae. The record is from RefSeq and is a predicted model, not a curated record.
CAGAACUACGCCUGGUUUAAAGAAGGAGGAACCUCACCUGUAGGAUCUGGACAGACAUACAACAUCACCAUCAGCUCUAAUAGCAGCGGCUGGUAUUACUGUGUAGCUCAGAAUGAACACGGGAUGCUGAAAUCAGCUUCCAUAGAUGCCACUUUAAAGGGUCACUUCUACAUUUUGCCUAUAGCUGUUGGAGUCGGCCUCUUUGGAGGCAAGAGGCAAAAGAGAAAUACAGAUGAAUCUGAUUAUGGGGACUUAAAGAAACAUCACUAAGAGAAUCAUCACUGAGAAAUUAAACUUGCAGCUGUAUCCCAAUGCAGUCAAAAGAGUGAGAGAUAUAGAGGGGAAGAGAGAUGGAUGAUCACAUGUAGACAAGAGUGUUCAGUUAAUCAACAGUAAAAAAUGUAAUCAACUGCAAAAAAUGUUGUAGCCUUUCUUUUUUUUUUUUGUACUGAUGGAAAAUAACCUUGUUCUUAUUCUGAAAAUUGAACUAAUUAAUAAUCUAAAUUAAAAUCUAAAUGUUUUAUUAUUUGUUAA